CAUAUUUCUAAAAUUUGAAACAUAAAAAGAUAAUUUUUAAGACUACAACUUAACUAGAAAAGAAUUACCAAUUUUUCAUUACACUUUUUGCCUCUGCAAAACAAUCCUGUUAAUCUCUAAACAGGUUUAGAGUCAUGAGUCUUCAUCUACAUACAAACUAUUAACUAUGCAACAACUGCUAAGGUCCAAACAAAGCAAUGAUCAUCAGCUAAGUCGCCUUCAAAAACAGAAUGUUUUUCUCUCUAUUAUAUUUAGUUUAACAGAAUCCCUACAUAGAGUUAAGUAAAACCUGAAAAAUUUAGGAAAGGCACAGUGCUUUUUGUUUAUAAUGAGGACAUACUUCUUUGUCAUUUGACAAAAUCAAUUAAAUGGAGCUAUGAAAUAUAAGCCUUAAUAAUAAAAAGUAUGGUGAAGAAUGAAUUUGAAGAUUUUAAAUCCUUUUCCCACUGAGCUGCUAUUGUUCCAAGCACUCUUGGAACUUCUCUUAAAAAUGAUUUAUCACCUAUCUACUACAUUUGAAAUCUCAUUAAACCACAAUAAAAUAAAAAAAUUUUUUUGAAUUAAAAAAAUUUAAACCACAUUCAAAAUGACUUCUGGCUAUAAAAUGAAGUAAAUAAUUCAUCAAUAGAUAAUAAUAAAGUUAAUCCUCCUGCCAAAAGUGAAUACAGUAAUGUGCCAAAUAACGAUGUUUCACUCAGUGAUUGUAAUGCCAUAUUUCUACUGUACCUUUUCUAUGUUUAGAUAUAUGUAGAUACACAAAUACUUACCAUUGUGUUACAACUGCCUGCAGUAUUCAUUACAGUAACAUGCUGUACAGGCUUAUAGCCUAGCAGCAAUAAGCUAUACCAUUUAGGUUUGUUUGAGUACACUCUGUGAUGUUCACAAAACAAACUUGUCUAACGAUGCAUUUUUCAGAACGUAUUCUUGUCAUUAAGCAAUGAAUGACUAUAUGUGCCAACAACAACAACAACAACAAAAGGAGAUAAAGAAUAUGAGGGCAGGGUGUGGCUCACACCUGUAAACCCAGCACACCGGGAAGCCUAGGGAGGUGGAAUGCUUGAGCCCAGGAGUUUGAGACCAGCCUGGGUUCAAGCAAUUGCCUGGCUAUUUUUUUUGGUGGGGGUGUAUUUUUUUUGUAGAGAACUGCUUGAGCCCAGGAGUUCAAGAACAGCCUGGGCAACACAGCAAGACCCCAUCUUCCACAAAAAGAAAAAAAAGGUAGAAAUAAAAACGAAAGGCUAGCCUUCAAGUGCAAGUUGUUUUGAUCCUCUGAGUGGUUGCAGAACUCUGUCAUAGUCAAGUUAAAUCAAAUAUCACAAAUCACGUUGCAAAAUAAUUGUAUCCAUUUUCCACCUCAUGUUGCAAUUAAAUCCGUCUUCAUACCCACGAGCAUCUAUACAAUAUGAAAAUAUAAGAAGGCUUCGAAAUGUUCCAUGGAUAGCAUAAAUAAUAGGUGUUAUAGAUAACAAUCAGGCCAAAAAUAACAACUGAAAUGAAUACACUGCAUGGAAAAAUGUCACAAAUACCACAGGGUUUCAGAAAAUGAAGGUAAUAAAUGGAAGGUAAAAAUAAAAAAAUACAAUCAACAUCAAGAAAAAGGUCUUUCAGCUUGAAACGAAUAGAAAAAGUAUAAGAAAACAUAGCUGUUUAUGUGCCAGGAAUGCAUGUUCAUUAUCAUCUUAUUAAAACCACUUACGCUGCCUACUUCCUCAUUUACUGAAAUAUCAACUAAAGGAAGCCCUCAACUUUGCUUUUCAAAGUGGAAAUGAACUCAUUCUUUAAUGAUAGGUCCUCCUUCAAAAAUAUUUGUCAACUGCAAAAGAAUGGUGACAAGGAAAAAAUAAAAAUGGCUGCAAACAUACUAUAUCUCACUAUGAUGUGUAAAUAUAAUAGAAGAGAAUGCUCUGCUUUUUUUUUUGUUUGUUUCCUGAGGUCUAUUUGAUGACUUAAAUUUCUAUACUGGAAAAGGGACAAAAACAAAGCAAAUCAAUGAAACAGAAUAUAAAAUGUUUAAAACUUGAAACUACAGUACAAAUUAGUAAUGCUAUAAAAUAUUCGGGACAACUGCCACUAUGUUGCAAGUUUGCAAGACAGAAAAAUCAGCUCCCACUAGGUGUCUGUAGAAGGCCUCCAUGUAUCAGCACCUACAAAGAAUUCUUUUACUCAUAUAAAUUAAGUUCCACCAUCUAAUCAAAUCAUGGAUUUGAUUUCUAUUUGAAACAUUCUUCAAACUGACCGAGUGAGUCUAUUCCUUGGAUUUGUGAUCCCAACGCUGAUUUUAUUGGCAGAAUGAUUAAAUAAUUAGUAACAGUUUUAAGACAUCAAGUAAACAUGGAGUUAGGCAACUGUUUCAUACAGACAAAUAAUUUUAUCUAAAGAGAAUGAAGGCCGGGUGCAGUGGCUCACACCUGUAAUCCCAGCACUUUGGGAGGCUGAGGUGGGCAGAUCAUGAGGUUGGGAGUUCGAGACCAGCCUGGCCAACAUGGCAAAACCCCGUCUCUACUAAAAAUACAAAAGUUAGCCAGGCGUGGUGGUGCAUGCCUGUAGUCCCAGCUAUUCAAGAGGCUGAGGCACAAGAAUCACUUGAACCUGGGAGGCAGAGGCUGCAGUGAACCAAGAUCGUGCCACUACACUCCAGCCUGGGCAACAGAGUGAGACUGCCUCCAAAAAAAAAAAAAGAAGAAGAAAAAGAAAAUGAGAAAGUACUAUCAGAAUGACAGAAUCACUGAGAAUAUUUCAAUACUGCCACUUGCACAGCUACCGCUGCCUCAAAGAACCAAUUAAUGAAAGAACAUUAGCCAAAAGGGAAAUAUAAUUUUAUGCCAUGUUUACUCAGCUUUAUAUGUAAGCAAUCAAAAUAAUCAUAUUUAAAUUUCAUACAAAUUUAUAUGCGUCCUAUAAACACACAUUUAGUGAUGUAAAGUUUUGUGGAAUAAAUUCAGAAUUAAAAUAUUCCCUUUUUGGGCAUGGGGAAAAAUAAGCCUACGUAUAAUUUCAGUGAAAAAGAAUGAGAUAGAACCAAGUGAAACAAGAUAUGGAUAAGGUAAAACGUAGAUAUGAUGGGUAAGUUUAUGACAAACUGGCUCAUUUUCAGUCUACUCAUUUAAAAGAUGUACCUUAUAUUUUAAUUUUAACCAAUUUCACGUGAAUGUCAAAACUGUCACGAUUUUACAACUUCUCCCAAAUUUUCCUUCUACAUAUAGGAAGUAUAUUUCAUUUGGUACAUUUGGACCAAUCAAGUAGACCACAUGGGAAGGUAAUCAAGAAAGAAUGGCUUGAUGUACCUGCUGCUGCAAAUCUAAUUUAGGAAAUGGCGCCCCAAGAUAUAGGCUGCAUAUUAUCUACUUUCCUAGCCACAUUCAAAUACAAUAUAAACUUUAGUCUGUGACAUCGCACAGUAAAGAAAUUACCUUUAUAUUUACUAACCUCUAACUGAAAUUUAACAUUCUCUUUCACUCUGAUUGGAGGCAACAAACUUACUUCAUUAGUUUAAUAGGGCCUAUGACUGUCAAAAAUAAAAAUUCCCAAUUUUUAUAUCAUUCUUAGUAUCCCUUAAUAUAUCAAUUACAUUCAACUUUACUUCAAAAUUAUAGUUAUUAACCACUGGAUUUUAUUCCUAAAUACAUUAAAAUAAAGCAGCACAUUUCAAAAAUUUAAAAAAUAUUUUGGUAACUGUAUUUUGAUAUAAUUGGUUGUCUUUGUAAUCAUAGGUAUUUUAUGCAUUUAAUAACAUUCUGAGAAUGAAUCUGUCCUUAUUACCAAAGGAAUCCAAAGCACUGAAAUAGUGAAGAACCUUGAUUAGAAGAAGUGGCAAUAAAACUCAAACAAUGACAUAAUAUUGUAAUAUUUAUUAUACUAAAUAAGAUAAUUUCAAGUAAAAAUUACAAUUCAUUUAUUCAAUAAAACCUGGAAAUCAUCUCUUCAUAUUGCAAGAUUUGUCUGUGCAGAGAAAAAACGGUUUAAAAAUGUAUAUACCAUCAUGUUUUACUUUUCUCUAUUACUGUUUAAUUUACAAUUUUUCUUUUAGCAGACUUAUUCUAACUUUGUAAUUUAAGGAUUUUUUUCUAAUUGACAACAGAUGCUAAAAAUAGUGGGUGAAAAGUUUGCUUAACUUAAACAGAUACAGAGGGAAAAAUAGCAACUUUACCCUGGAGAAACCUGACAGACAUCCCCUUAAACAAGUUAACACACAAUAAUGGAAAACAUAGACAUCAUGUGCUUCCUGAUGUGCACGAAGAGGGACACAACACCGCUUAUGAGGUAUUCAUGCCAAAAAUGCAUUACCUCAAUCUAAUCUUGAGGAACUAUCAAACAAACACGAAUUGAGGGAUGCUCUCCAAAGUGGUAUUCAAAAUGUCAAGUCAUAAAAGACAAACAAAAACUAGGGAACUAUUUAGAUUAAAGCAGAGGUAACUUCCACUCCCAACUAACAGAAAUUAGAUUUAAACCUCCCACCCACCUUUAACAACUAGAAAAUUAGACACACACACAAAAAAACAAUGGUUUUCAAACUCUACACACAAGGUAGCACAGAACUGUAUACCUAACAAAAGGGAAACAAAUCAAGUGAGUCCUGUGGCUGCCAAAGCUUGAGGCCUAGAAGUAGCUGGGGGAAGGGGAGGUUAACAGAGCCUACUUACUAGUUUCACUGAGUUGAGGAAACACAAGUCUUUCAAGGCAGCUAGAAUUUGGGAAACAGAGUACUGAUGAUGAUGGAGCUGCACAAAAAAGCUCUGAUCUUAAAAAUACAUCUACCGACGUAUUUUGGCUGAAAACUGAUCUGUGAUCUUAAAACUACAUCUACAGACAUAUUUUGGCUGAAAACUGAUCUGUGCAUUCAUGAGAAGAAAGCACCUGUGGCCAGAGAAAGAACCCCAGAACCACAAGAAAGCAUUAGGCUAACAAUUCCCAAAGAACACACAUGGCCAGGAGUACUCUGUAUUGCUACCUGUUCAAGAGUAGGAUGACCUUGUAAUACGGGGGAUGAUUCAGAUCUCUCCAGGUAUCACCGCGGUAGUAUGAAUAAAUAGCCCCAGGCUAAAGUUUGCUCUACCAAAGUCUUUUCAAAAACUUAAAAGCAAGCCUCAAAAGGAUCCAAAUAAUUCGAGGUUAAUUUGACAGGAUGCCAGAACAAAGUCCAACAAAACAUUUAAAAUAAUACAACAAAAUCCAGCAACCAAUAAUGUGAAAUUCACAAUAUUCUGAAUCAAACUUAAAAAUGACAGGCAUUUUGUCAAAAAAAAAAAAAAAAGCAGGAAAACAUGACUCAUUACCCAGAAGAAGAAAAAAAAAGAAAAUCAAACUAUAGAAACAGAUCUAGAAAUGGCAGAUAUGAAAACAGUAAGGCCGGGCGCAGUGGCUCACGCCUGUAAUUCCAGCACUUUGGGAGGCCGAGGCAGGCGGAUCAUGAGGUCAGGAGAUCGAGACCAUCCUGGCUAACACGGUGAAACCCCGCCUCUACUAAAAAUACAAAAAAUUAGCCGGGCAUGGUGGCGGGCACCUGCAGUCCCAGCUACUAGGGAGGCUGAGGCAGGAGAAUGGCGUUAACCUGGAAGGCAGAGCUUGCAGUGAGCAGAGAUCACGCCACUGCACUCCAGCCUGGGUGACAGAGCAAGGCUCCAUCUCAAAAAAAAAAAAAGUAAACAGUAGGCAAAGAUGUUAAAAGAACUAUUAUAAAUAUGCUAAUAUAUUAAAAUAUUAGUAGAGGAAAACAUGAACAUAAUUAGGCAGGAAAUAGAAGAUACAAAAGAGACAAAUGGAACUUUUAGAGACGAAAAACAUAACAUCUGAAAAAAUAUGCUGCAUGGUAUUCACAGGUGAUUUUAAAAGAUCAGCAAACUUAAAGAUACAGCAAUAGAAACUUUCCAAAAUGGAGUACAGAAGGAAAAAAAGACUAGGGAAAAACAAUACAAAUACAAACCACAAUGCAAAAUAAAUACAAAACAGUACAAAAACAAUACAAAACAAUACCAAAAAACAAAAAACAAAAAACAAGCCUCAGUGACUGUGGGAAAGUGGCAGGAAUUAUCUGGAAUUGGGGUCUCAGAAGAAGAGAGUUGGGAAAAGGCCUAAAAACUAUAUUUAAAGAAAUAAUGGGCCGGGCGCGGUGGCUCACGCCUGUAACGCCAACACUUGGGAGGCCGAGGCAGGUGGAUCACCUGAGGUCAGGAGCCUGACCGACAUGGAGAAACCCUAUCUCUACUAAAAAAAUACAAAAUUAGCCGGGUGUGGUGGUGCAUGACUGUAAUCCCAGCUACUUGGGAGGCUGAGGCAGGAGAAUCGCUUGAACCCAGGGGGCGGAGGUUGCGGUGAGCCGAGAUGGUGCCGUUGCACUCCAGCCUGGGCAACAAGAGCGAAACUCUGUCUCAAAAAAAAAAAAAAAAAGAAGAGGAAUAAUAAUAGCCUAUGAUCCUGUACUGGAUUCUAGACAAGAAAUAAUUGUUUUUCAUUUGCUGUAAGGGACAUUAACAGACAAAAUUUGAAUACGCUCUAUUGACUAACCUGACAAUAAUAGUUUACUGAUGUAAAUUUCAUUAUCUUGAUAACUGUACUACAGUUAAAAGUCUUCCUAAUUUUAAACACUUAUUACUCAUUACUAAUUCAUUUAUCUGGAUUAACAGGAACACAGACUUAGAAAUUUUUUUGAAAGAAAGGGUUUUUUUUUUAACUUUUCAGGUAGGCACAAAAGAGAGGAUUUUUAUAUCCCUUUAUUAAAUGCCUACUGUGUACAAGGUAUUGUGCACUAAAAAAAU
RNAcentral lists this long non-coding RNA (6752 nucleotides) under Homo sapiens (human). Its description in RNAcentral is "HSALNT0198089". Lineage: Eukaryota; Metazoa; Chordata; Mammalia; Primates; Hominidae. The record is from RNAcentral.